UCGGGAGAAGGUGUGCCCCGGUAGCGUGUAGAGACUUGCUCUCGAAGCGCGAUGGGGUUGCAGUGAAAUGGUGGCUGCGACUGUUUAAUAAAAACACAGCACUCUGCAAACACGAAAGUGGACGUAUAGGGUGUGACGCCUGCCCGGUGCCGGAAGGUUAAGUGAUGGGGUGCAAGCUCUUGAUCGAAGCCCCGGUAAACGGCGGCCGUAACUAUAACGGUCCUAAGGUAGCGAAAUUCCUUGUCGGGUAAGUUCCGACCUGCACGAAUGGCGUAACGAUGGCCACACUGUCUCCUCCUGGGACUCAGCGAAGUUGAAAUGUUUGUGAAGAUGCAAUCUACCCGCGGCUAGACGGAAAGACCCCAUGAACCUUUACUGUAGCUUUGCAUUGGACUUUGAACCGGUUUGUGUAGGAUAGGUGGGAGACUGUGAAGCCGGGACGCUAGUUUCGGUGGAGUCAACCUUGAAAUACCACCCUGAUUUGUUUGAGGUUCUAACCUUGGUCCGUGAAUCCGGAUCGGGGACCGUGCAUGGUAGGCAGUUUGACUGGGGCGGUCUCCUCCCAAAAGGUAACGGAGGAGUACGAAGGUACGCUUAGGGCAGUCGGACAUCGCCCACAAAGUGCAAUGGCAAAAGCGUGCUUGACUGCGAGACCCACAAGUCGAGCAGGUACGAAAGUAGGUCAUAGUGAUCCGGUGGUUCUGUAUGGAAGGGCCAUCGCUCAACGGAUAAAAGGUACUCUGGGGAUAACAGGCUAAUUCCUCCCAAGAGUUCAUAUCGACGGGGGAGUUUGGCACCUCGAUGUCGGCUCAUCACAUCCUGGGGCUGUAGUCGGUCCCAAGGGUAUGGCUGUUCGCCAUUUAAAGUGGUACGCGAGCUGGGUUUAAAACGUCGUGAGACAGUUUGGUCCCUAUCUGCCGUGGGCGCUGGAAAUUUGAAGGGGGCUGCUCCUAGUACGAGAGGACCGGAGUGGACGAACCUCUGGUGUACCGGUUAUGACGCCAGUCGUAUCGCCGGGUAGCUAAGUUCGGAAGAGAUAAACGCUGAAAGCAUCUAAGCGUGAAACUCGCCUUAAGAUAAGAUUUCCCGGAGUCUUGAACUCCCUGAAGGGUCGUCGAAGACCACGACGUUGAUAGGUCAGGUGUGGAAGCGCAGCAAUGCGUUAAGCUAACUGAUACUAAUUGCCCGUGCGGCUUGAUCCC
This 1202-nucleotide ribosomal RNA is filed under the name metagenome. RNAcentral describes it as "bacterial LSU rRNA". It matches the Rfam family "Bacterial large subunit ribosomal RNA", at positions 1736 to 2925 of the family's 2925-position model. The record is from RNAcentral.